ACCCUGUAGUCACCCUAAACGAUGUCUACUAGUUGUGGGAGAGACCUCCUGUGACGCAGCUAACGCGUGAAGUAGACCGCCUGGGGAGUACGGUCGCAAGAUAAAACUCAAAGGAAUUGACGGGGGCCCGCACAAGCGGUGGAUUAUGUGGAUUAAUUCGAUGCAACGCGAAAAACCUUACCUGGCCUUGACAUGCCACUAACGAAGCAGAGAUGCAUCAGGUGCUCGAAAGAGAAAGUGGACACAGGUGCUGCAUGGCUGUCGUCAGCUCGUG
This 274-nucleotide ribosomal RNA is filed under the name uncultured Chitinivorax sp. Its description in RNAcentral is "partial 16S ribosomal RNA". It matches the Rfam family "Bacterial small subunit ribosomal RNA", at positions 785 to 1064 of the family's 1533-position model. Lineage: Bacteria; Pseudomonadati; Pseudomonadota; Betaproteobacteria. The record is from RNAcentral.